AAGAGAACCAGAGUCCUCCUGGUUGCUGUGUGCAGCAAAAUCGAUAUUCUUUUCCCUCAACUUCUGGAGAAGCUCCUGGCUUAGACCAGGAAGCUGCACACGAACUCUCUGCACACGGUUGCCGAGCUCAGGAGAAAUAGCCUCUACAAUGGCAAUCGUGCCAUUCUCAAACAAAUCAACCUUCUUCACUCUGUCCUUGUCUAGAUACUCAAGGAACCUCGA
This 222-nucleotide unclassified non-coding RNA is filed under the name Hevea brasiliensis (rubber tree). Lineage: Eukaryota; Viridiplantae; Streptophyta; Magnoliopsida; Malpighiales; Euphorbiaceae. The record is from RNAcentral.